This is a long non-coding RNA of Cyprinus carpio (common carp), 1683 nucleotides long. NCBI's taxonomy places the organism in Eukaryota, Metazoa, Chordata, Actinopteri, Cypriniformes, Cyprinidae. The record is from Ensembl.
AUUGCAAAUAACAUGCAAUAAAGAGUAUGAAAACAUCACAUUCAGAUAUAUUCUUUUAUAUUUUAGAAAGGAAAAAAGGAAACUACAAUCUUCUACAAAUGAAUCAAAUAUGACUGUUAUGAGUCAGUAUGAGUACGCACAGAAUGCAACACAAUAAUAUGCAAAGAGUAACCCGGAUGCCACAUGAAAUCGACAGUUCAGGAGGCAAAACAGUUGGCCAUGCCACGUGGAAGACAAAGGGUAUUUUAUAUGCAAUCUUAUAUGCACAUAAUGCAGAAUGAAAAGUUAUUUUCUAUGGAAAAUUUAAACCGAAACCUACAAUAUUACAGUGAUGAACUUCCUUCAUUGCUGAAUGGUGUGUUGGUGAAUUUUGAUAGUGUUUGAAAGCGUGUUUAGCAUUAGCCUGUGUGGCUAGGUCUCGUGGGCAAGGCGAAUGUUUGUGUUUUGGUUUUAAAAACCUGAUGUCAUCAUCAUAUUGUGGAGGACAGUGAUGGAACAAAAAGAUCAGUGUUACUAUUUGGUUAAUGUCAUUGUAAGUUUCUGGUCAAGUCCUUUGCCUAAUCAAAUAUGUUUUAGAUGGGAUGGAGGACAGGCACAUCCAACAGAUCAGAGCACAGUGCAAUCAGAUAAAUAUCGAAUCAGUAGGGGCUUCUGGAUUGUUUAGCAUGAAUUUUGGAUUGCUAAGGUCAUGCUUAGGAAAUGUUUAGUAAUUGGAAUAAUUCUUGAGUCUAAAAAUAUUUAGCUAUAUCCUCUGGUUCGCCUUUUUUAAACUUUCAUUUUUUUUCUUUUCAGGUCCCAGUCCAAUGUGAAGACACUAUUUCAGUUCAGUGUCAGGAUGACCAAUUCGGGUUGGAUGCUGAAGUGGUUUAUGAUGAAAAAUUCUUUCCCUUACGAAGGUGCAAUCCAUUUGUGACUGGGUCAUAUCACAGGGGACGAGUUCCUGGGCAGAAUCAGGAUACUGGCGUGUCUCCAGGAUUCAUAGCACCUGAUGGCAUGGGCGGCAAUGGCCAAGAGCUGAUGAACAGAGAUGAACGCUAUAAAAAAGAGAAGCGUGUGCAUCCAAAGGGAAAGAAGAAAAAGGUUAAGAGAGGCGAGAACACAGCUUCACCAUUAAAGAGGAAAAUCAUCCAGUCAGCAUCUGACAGUAACGAAAUGUGAUUUGAUUAAUAAGAUAAAUAACACCUAUUUUCUUGUUUAAAGUGAUAGUUCACCCAAAAAUUCUUUCAUUAAUUACUCACCCUCAUGUUGUUUCAAACCCGUAAGACCUUUGUUCACCUUUGGGACACAAACUAAGUUAUUUUUGAUGAAAUGCGAGAGCUGUCUGACCCUGAAUAGACAGCAACGGAACUAUCACGUUCAAGCCCAGAAAGGUAGUAAGAACAAUCAUUAAAAUAGUCCAUGCGGCAUCAGUGAUGGACAGCGUUGCUGUCUAUGCAGGGUCAGAAAGCUCUCGGAUUUUAUCGAUAGCUUAGUUUGUGUUCUGAAGAUGAAUGAAGGUCUUACAGGUUUGGAACGACACAAGGGUAAUUAAUUACAGAAUUUUCAUUUUUGGGUGAACUGUCCCUUUAACGUAGCAUACACACUGCUUUUCUAUAAGCUUAAGCAGCACUUAAAAGCUUUAUAAACUUUGAAUCUAUAACUCUAACUUUCUGUACUCUUUAAAUAAAUUCUUUCAAAAGGACA